RNAcentral lists this ribosomal RNA (527 nucleotides) under uncultured Janthinobacterium sp. Its description in RNAcentral is "bacterial SSU rRNA". It matches the Rfam family "Bacterial small subunit ribosomal RNA", at positions 73 to 596 of the family's 1533-position model. Lineage: Bacteria; Pseudomonadati; Pseudomonadota; Betaproteobacteria; Burkholderiales; Oxalobacteraceae. The record is from RNAcentral.
CGGAAGCUUGCUCUGGUGGCGAGUGGCGAACGGGUGAGUAAUAUAUCGGAACGUACCCUGGAGUGGGGGAUAACGUANCGAAAGUUACGCUAAUACCGCAUACGAUCUACGGAUGAAAGUGGGGGAUCGCAAGACCUCAUGCUCGUGGAGCGGCCGAUAUCUGAUUAGCUAGUUGGUAGGGUAAAAGCCUACCAAGGCAUCGAUCAGUAGCUGGUCUGAGAGGACGACCAGCCACACUGGAACUGAGACACGGUCCAGACUCCUACGGGAGGCAGCAGUGGGGAAUUUUGGACAAUGGGCGAAAGCCUGAUCCAGCAAUGCCGCGUGAGUGAAGAAGGCCUUCGGGUUGUAAAGCUCUUUUGUCAGGGAAGAAACGGUGAGAGCUAAUAUCUCUUGCUAAUGACGGUACCUGAAGAAUAAGCACCGGCUAACUACGUGCCAGCAGCCGCGGUAAUACGUAGGGUGCAAGCGUUAAUCGGAAUUACUGGGCGUGAAGCGUGCGCAGGCGGUUUUGUAAGUCUGAUGUG